This 468-nucleotide ribosomal RNA is filed under the name uncultured bacterium. RNAcentral's name for it is "partial 16S ribosomal RNA". It matches the Rfam family "Bacterial small subunit ribosomal RNA", at positions 28 to 507 of the family's 1533-position model. The record is from RNAcentral.
GACGAACGCUGGCGGCGUGCUUAACACAUGCAAGUCGAACGGAAAGGCCCUGCUUUUGUGGGGUGCUCGAGUGGCGAACGGGUGAGUAACACGUGAGUAACCUGCCCUUGACUUUGGGAUAACUUCAGGAAACUGGGGCUAAUACCGGAUAGGAGCUCCUGCUGCAUGGUGGGGGUUGGAAAGUUUCGGCGGUUGGGGAUGGACUCGCGGCUUAUGAGCUUGUUGGUGGGGUAGUGGCUUACCAAGGCUUUGACGGGUAGCCGGCCUGAGAGGGUGACCGGCCACAUGGGGACUGAGAUACGGCCCAGACGCGUACGGGAGGCAGCAGUGGGGAAUAUGGCACAAUGGGCGGAAGCCGGAGGCAGCAACGCCGCAUGCGGGAUGACGGCCUUCGGGUUGUAAACCGCUUUCGCCUGUGACGAAGCGGGAGUGACGGUAAUGGGUAAAGAAGCACCGGCUAACUACGUG